GACGAACGCUGGCGGCGUGCUUAACACAUGCAAGUCGAGCGGUAAGGCCCUUUCGGGGUACGACGAGCGGCGAACGGGUGAGUAACACGUGGGUGACCUGCCCUCCAGCUCUGGGAGUAAGCCUGGGAAACCGGGUCUAAUACUGGAUAUGACUCCAUGACGCAUGUUGUGGGGUGGAAAGCCUUGUGCGGCUGAGGAUGGGCCCGCGGCCUAUCAGCUUGUUGGUGGGGUGAUGGCCUACCAAGGCGACGACGGGUAGCCGGCCUGAGAGGGCGACCGGCCACACUGGGACUGAGACACGGCCCAGACUCCUACGGGAGGCAGCAGUGGGGAAGUCUUGCGCAAUGGGCGAAAGCCUGACGCAGCGACGCCGCGUGAGGGAUGACGGCCU
Molecule: ribosomal RNA, 391 nt
Filed under: uncultured bacterium
Lineage: Bacteria
Description: bacterial SSU rRNA
Rfam family: Bacterial small subunit ribosomal RNA
Source: RNAcentral